Tritrichomonas musculus is the source of this 82-nucleotide non-coding RNA. Lineage: Eukaryota; Parabasalia; Tritrichomonadida; Tritrichomonadidae. The record is from the annotation of a GenBank genome assembly.
UUCCUUGUAGUCUGAAUGGUAAAAUUUUCCUCGGGGGAAAACCUAAUGGGGGAAGUUCUGGGUUCGAAUCCCAGCAAGGAAG